This 497-nucleotide ribosomal RNA is filed under the name uncultured bacterium. RNAcentral's name for it is "partial 16S ribosomal RNA". It matches the Rfam family "Bacterial small subunit ribosomal RNA", at positions 28 to 507 of the family's 1533-position model. The record is from RNAcentral.
GAUGAACGCUGGCGGCGUGCCUAAUACAUGCAAGUCGAGCGAACAGAUAAGGAGCUUGCUCCUUUGACGUUAGCGGCGGACGGGUGAGUAACACGUGGGUAACCUAUCUAUAAGACUGGAAUAACUCCGGGAAACCGGGGCUAAUGCCGGAUAACAUGUUGAACCGCAUGGUUCUACAGUGAAAGGCGGCUUUGCUGUCACUUAUAGAUGGACCCGCGCCGUAUUAGCUAGUUGGUGAGGUGACGGCUCACCAAGGCAACGAUACGUAGCCGACCUGAGAGGGUGAUCGGCCACACUGGAACUGAGACACGGUCCAGACUCCUACGGGAGGCAGCAGUAGGGAAUCUUCCGCAAUGGGCGAAAGCCUGACGGAGCAACGCCGCGUGAGUGAUGAAGGUCUUCGGAUCGUAAAACUCUGUUAUUAGGGAAGAACAAAUGCGUAAGUAACUGUGCGCGUCUUGACGGUACCUAAUCAGAAAGCCACGGCUAACUACGUG